RNAcentral lists this ribosomal RNA (497 nucleotides) under uncultured bacterium. RNAcentral describes it as "partial 16S ribosomal RNA". It matches the Rfam family "Bacterial small subunit ribosomal RNA", at positions 28 to 507 of the family's 1533-position model. The record is from RNAcentral.
GAUGAACGCUGGCGGCGUGCCUAAUACAUGCAAGUCGAGCGAACAGACGAGGAGCUUGCUCCUCUGACGUUAGCGGCGGACGGGUGAGUAACACGUGGAUAACCUACCUAUAAGACUGGGAUAACUUCGGGAAACCGGAGCUAAUACCGGAUAAUAUAUUGAACCGCAUGGUUCAAUAGUGAAAGACGGUUUUGCUGUCACUUAUAGAUGGAUCCGCGCCGCAUUAGCUAGUUGGUAAGGUAACGGCUUACCAAGGCAACGAUGCGUAGCGGACCUGAGAGGGUGAUCGGCCACACUGGAACUGAGACACGGUCCCGACUCCUACGGGAGGCAGCAGUAGGGAAUCUUCCGCAAUGGGCGAAAGCCUGACGGAGCAACGCCGCGUGAGUGAUGAAGGUCUUCGGAUCGUAAAACUCUGUUAUUAGGGAAGAACAAAUGUGUAAGUAACUAUGCACGUCUUGACGGUACCUAAUCAGAAAGCCACGGCUAACUACGUG